This 467-nucleotide ribosomal RNA is filed under the name uncultured bacterium. RNAcentral's name for it is "bacterial SSU rRNA". It matches the Rfam family "Bacterial small subunit ribosomal RNA", at positions 328 to 792 of the family's 1533-position model. The record is from RNAcentral.
GGGCCAGACUCCUACGGGAGGCAGCAGUGAGGAAUAUUGGUCAAUGGGCUUACGCCUGAACCAGCCAAGUCGCGUGAGGGAAGACUGCCCUAUGGGUUGUAAACCUCUUUUGUCAGGGAGCAACGCCGGCUACGUGUAGCCGGACUGAGAGUACCUGAAGAAAAAGCAUCGGCUAACUCCGUGCCAGCAGCCGCGGUAAUACGGAGGAUGCGAGCGUUAUCCGGAUUUAUUGGGUUUAAAGGGUGCGCAGGCGGCACGGCAAGCCGGCGGGAAAAGCGCGGGGCUCAACCCCGCCCAGCCGUCGGAACUGCCGGGCUAGAGUGGGCGAGAAGUAUGCGGAAUGCGCGGUGUAGCGGUGAAAUGCAUAGAUAUCGCGCAGAACUCCGAUUGCGAAGGCAGCAUGCCGGCUCCACACUGACGCUGAGGCACGAAAGCGUGGGUAUCGAACAGGAUUAGAUACCCGUGUA